AGGCAUUGCGGAGCCAUCGCUCCGUCUAAGCUGGAUAUGAAAUUGGAGUACCGUAAUGGUGAGAAUUUUUCAAAACGGUGAUGGGGUAACAAUGCUGAUUCCAGGAGCCCGUGAAAAGGGUGAUACGGUCCGUACCGAGAACUGACACAGGUGCCCCUCGCUGAGAAGGCGAAGGCGUGUCGGGAGUAAAUGUGUUAAGGGAACUCGGCAAAUUAGCCCUGCAACUUUGGGAUAAGGGGUGCCUGCCCAGCGAUUGGGCAGGUCGCAGUGACAAGAUCGCUCCGACUGUCUAAUAACAACAUAGCAGACUGCAACUCCGAAAGGACUCGUAUAGUCUGUGAUUCCUGCCCAGUGCGAGUAUCUGAACACCGGGUUCAACCGGACGAAGGACACGUAAACGGCGGGGGUAACGAUGACCCUCUUAAGGUAGCGUAGUACCUUGUCGCUUAAUUGGCGACUUGCAUGAAUGGAAUAACGAGAGCGAUACUGUCCCUAACACAUACCCGUUGAACCUUUUGUACUAGUGCAGAGACUAGUGACUCCUUAUGGGAAGUGAAGACCCCGUGGAGCUUUACUGCAGCCUGUCGUUGGGUUACGGUAUUACCUGCGCAGGGUAGAUGGGAGACGUCGAUCCAACCCUUGUGGGGGUUGGUUAGUCAACGAUGAGACACCAUCCUGGUUUUAUUGUAAUUCUAACUGAUUUAUCAGGACAUCGAUAGGUAGGCAGUUUGGGUGGGGCGCCACACCCUCGAAAAAAUAUCAAGGGUGCCCUAAGGUCAACUCAAGCGGGUCAGAAACCCGCUGAAGAGUGUCAAGAGCAAAAGUUGGCCUGACGCGAUUUCGCAUAGCAAGAAAUCGCGAGAGGAAACUCGGGUCUAACGAACCAAUACGCCCUGUUGAUGAGGGCUAUUGACUACAGAAAAGCUACCCCGGGGAUAACAGAGUCGUCGCCGGCAAGAGCACAUAUCGACCCGGCGGCUUGCUACCUCGAUGUCGGUUCUUUCCAUCCUGGCUGUGCAGCAGCAGCCAAGGGUGAGGUUGUUCGCCUAUUAAAGGGGAUCGUGAGCUGGGUUUAGACCGUCGUGAGACAGGUCGGUUACUAUCUAUAAGGAGUGUUGGAAGUCUGAAGGCAAGAAUGAAAUAGUACGAGAGGAACUUUCAUUCGGCGCCACUGGUCUACCGGUUGUCUGACAAGGCACCGCCGGGCAGCUACGCGCCAAGAGAUAAAAGCCGAAAGCAUCUAAGCUUGAAACUCAGCCUGAACAAGAGACUUCAUUAAAGACACGGGUAAGAGACCCGGUUGAUAGGUUCGGGAUGUACGCACGGAGGCAACGACGUGUUCAGUCCGCGAAUACUAAUUGUCUUAAC
This 1368-nucleotide ribosomal RNA is filed under the name metagenome. RNAcentral describes it as "bacterial LSU rRNA". It matches the Rfam family "Archaeal large subunit ribosomal RNA", at positions 1584 to 2976 of the family's 2987-position model. The record is from RNAcentral.